This 253-nucleotide ribosomal RNA is filed under the name uncultured bacterium. RNAcentral's name for it is "partial 16S ribosomal RNA". It matches the Rfam family "Bacterial small subunit ribosomal RNA", at positions 524 to 776 of the family's 1533-position model. The record is from RNAcentral.
UACGUAGGGUCCGAGCGUUGUCCGGAAUUAUUGGGCGGAAAGGGCUCGUAGGCGGUUUGUCGCGUCGGGAGUGAAAACACGGGGCUUAACCCCGUGCCUGCUUCCGAUACGGGCAGACUAGAGGUAUGCAGGGGAGAACGGAAUUCCUGGUGUAGCGGUGAAAUGCGCAGAUAUCAGGAGGAACACCGGUGGCGAAGGCGGUUCUCUGGGCAUUACCUGACGCUGAGGAGCGAAAGUGUGGGGAGCGAACAGG